AAGAGAAAAUUCCCUCAGUGCCAUCAUAACCUAUACCAAUUCUCUAUAUGCCAUCAAAAGUUAUAAGUUUCCUUCGAUGCCAUUAGUUUAGAUUCUAAAUCCCUUCAAAGCUAUCACCGUCACUGAUGCCAUCUACUACCGUUACUGGUUCAUUUGGACCCACUCGUCAUACUAUAACCUCGUUCCUAUACCUCUCUUUAUUUAUCUCCAUGACUCGUGUACAGGAGGAAAAAAGGUGCGGCUUAUACCUCUCUUUAUUUAUCUCCAUGACUCGUGUACAGGAGGAAAAAAGGUGUGGCUGCUGCCCAACGGGUGCGCCAGAGCCGCCCUAGCUUCACGAGUCAUGCAUGCGGGCGUGAUCGUCGCCCGUCUUGGCCUCACGUGUUCUCUUCCAAGCCAGUGUUGCGACAAUGUCAGCUAACCACUAUGUGGCAAGGCCACAGGUGUCGGUGAGCAAGUGGAGCGCGACCUCGAGCUACCCGAGAAGGGCGACAUACUGUGGCAGGUCCCAGCGACGACCAUGCGGUAGAGCAGUGGCGGCUCGAGGUUGUGCACAACGUCGAACACCUUAACACGACAGUCACUGAGCCCUCGCGGUCUAUGUUGGGUCUCUGCUGCGGUGAGCACCUCCCGCGACAUGCAUUGGACGCACUGACGUCGCCAUGGCCGAGAGGCACACCAGGAUCCCGUCCAGCCUAGGCGUCGGCUCGUCGGCCAGCGCGCACGCUCGCUCUAGGCCGGUCCAGAGCACGCUCACUAGUUCGAGGCAUGUGGACAUGUGCAGGCCAAAAGGCACCAGUGAUGUGGUGUCUUGAGUGCUUCAAAUGGAGGAGGAUGGCAAGGUUUGCUAGCUAGAAAAUAAUCCCAGCUCGUUUGUGUGCGUGUUGCUGUUGUUUGUGUCUGCUCCAUCGUGUGGCGAUUUGGGGCUGCGUUGGUUGCAUGUGUAGGUGCUGCAUCGUGUCUGUGUGUGUGCAUGGAGAUAGAUGCUCCUACGUAAAUUACGUGGAGUCUGUUAGGCAGUUCGUGCGUGUAGCCAUAGAGACAUGCAAAGGCAUGAGUUCGCUAUGUCUUCAGGUUCGCGCGGCAUGCAUUGCUAGCUAGCAACUGUCAUAGCCUAUUUAAAUAUCUAUAAGAAGCACAUGCAAGAAAAUAGCAGAACUGCUAUUGCAAUUUGAGGGUCAUUUUUUUUGGUCUCGUGUUGUGCUUCUUCUACAUCUAUCUAUCU
Molecule: long non-coding RNA, 1225 nt
Filed under: Zea mays
Lineage: Eukaryota; Viridiplantae; Streptophyta; Magnoliopsida; Poales; Poaceae
Description: long non-coding RNA (ZMAY_LNC001193)
Source: RNAcentral